GGAGUUGUGGCUCAGUGGUAGAGCACUUGCCUAGCAUGUGUGAGGCCCUGGGUUUGAUUCUCAGCACCA
Molecule: transfer RNA, 69 nt
Filed under: Marmota marmota marmota (Alpine marmot)
Lineage: Eukaryota; Metazoa; Chordata; Mammalia; Rodentia; Sciuridae
Also listed under: 3 other names
Rfam family: tRNA
About the family: Transfer RNA (tRNA) molecules are approximately 80 nucleotides in length.
Source: Rfam by way of RNAcentral